UGAAGAUAUGUAGAUUGAGGCAUUCUGUUAACUUUUCUAGUUAAGGCAUAGGAUGUUAAGUUGAAUCAUAAAAACCCAUAGAAAACCACUGUAACUACUGAGACUUGGGUUAGGUGUGGAGGAAUCGGAGAUCUGGAAAGACUUGUGCAUGGUGGAAAAUUUGCUUUGGCCAAAUCUCAUUGUCUGAAAAUACAUUUAUUUUUUUGGACAGCAGAAUUUCAUGCAUUUGGUAGUUCGGCUCAUCUAAAUUUCAGCUGCUGGAAAAAAAUCUGAGAAAACAGUUCAG
Pelobates cultripes (western spadefoot toad) is the source of this 286-nucleotide non-coding RNA. NCBI's taxonomy places the organism in Eukaryota, Metazoa, Chordata, Amphibia, Anura, Pelobatidae. The record is from the annotation of a GenBank genome assembly.